Alligator sinensis (Chinese alligator) is the source of this 642-nucleotide non-coding RNA. The record is from the annotation of a RefSeq genome assembly. Lineage: Eukaryota; Metazoa; Chordata; Crocodylia; Alligatoridae.
UUAACGCUUGGUGUCUCUCAGCUCCGUGUCAGUCGGUGCAGAAGCAGCAAGAUGCUGUGGCAGACUCAGCUCCUCUGGCUCCUCGUGCUCUGGGCAAAGGGCUCCAGCGGGGACAUCGUCAUCACUCAGACUCCAGAGUCCCUGGCAGUGUCUCCAGGGGACACAGUCACCAUCAAGUGCAAAACCAGCUCCAGCGUUAGCAGCAACAUGGCCUUGUACCAGCAGAAACCAGGGCAGGCUCCUAAGUGCCUUCUAUAUGGCACAAACAGCCGCCCCUCGGGGAUCCCUGACCGGUUCAGUGGCAGUGGGUCUGGCACUGACUUCACUUUCACGAUCAGCCGGGUGGAAGCUGGGGAUGCUGGAGAUUAUUACUGUCAGCAGUAUCAGAGCUGGCCUCUCACAGUGCUACAGCCCCGUACAAAAACCUCCCUGCUCUGCUCAGUCCUGCUGCUCCCGGCACCAGCUGCUUCCUGCACAGUCGCAGGCCAGGGACUCUCCUGCCCCGUCACAGCAGGGCCUGGGGCUGCUCAUGUGCAUGCACUUCACCCACCACUGCUGCCCAUCAGUGACUAUCUCAGUAGGAUCUCACAGGUGUCCUCAGCUGUUUUGUUUGUAUGAAACUCAGCUGAUUCAUUUGGAUGG